RNAcentral lists this ribosomal RNA (397 nucleotides) under uncultured Glomeromycotina. RNAcentral describes it as "SSU rRNA". It matches the Rfam family "Eukaryotic small subunit ribosomal RNA", at positions 569 to 970 of the family's 1831-position model. The record is from RNAcentral. Lineage: Eukaryota; Fungi; Glomeromycota.
AGCAGCCGCGGUAAAUUCCAGCUCCAAUAGCGUAUAUUAAAGUUGUUGCAGUUAAAAAGCUCGUAGUUGAAUUUCGGGAUUAGUACGUUGGUCGUGCCUUCGGUACGUACUGGUGUUACUGAUUCCUACCUUCUGACGAACCAUCAUGUCAUUAAUUUGGUGUGGCGGGGAAUCAGGACUGUUACUUUGAAAAAAUUAGAGUGUUUAAAGCAGGCUCGCGCUUGAAUACAUUAGCAUGGAAUAAUGAAAUAGGACGUUGAUCCUAUUUUGUUGGUUUCUAGGAUUGACGUAAUGAUUAAUAGGGAUAGUUGGGGGCAUUAGUAUUCAAUUGUCAGAGGUGAAAUUCUUGGAUUUAUUGAAGACUAACUACUGCGAAAGCAUUUGCCAAGGAUGUUUU